Molecule: ribosomal RNA, 490 nt
Filed under: uncultured bacterium
Lineage: Bacteria
Description: partial 16S ribosomal RNA
Rfam family: Bacterial small subunit ribosomal RNA
Source: RNAcentral
AUUGAACGCUGGCGGCAGGCCUAACACAUGCAAGUCGAACGGUAACAGGAAGACGCUUGCUUCUUUGCUGACGAGUGGCGGACGGGUGAGUAAUGUCUGGGAAACUGCCUGAUGGAGGGGGAUAACUACUGGAAACGGUAGCUAAUACCGCAUAACGUCGCAAGACCAAAGAGGGGGACCUUCGGGCCUCUUGCCAUCGGAUGUGCCCAGAUGGGAUUAGCUAGUAGGUGGGGUAACGGCUCACCUCUGCGACGAUCCCUAGCUGGUAUGAGAGGGUCACCAGCCACACUGGAACUGAGACACGGUCCAGACUCCGACGGGAGGCAGCAGUGGGGAAUAUUGCACAAUGGGCGCAAGCCUGAUGCAGCCAUGCCGCGUGUAUGAAGAAGGCCUUCGGGUUGUAAAGUACUUUCAGCGGGGAGGAAGGGAGUAAAGUUAAUACCUUAGCUCAUUGACGUUACCCGCAGAAGAAGCACCGGCUAACUCCGUG